UAAUAAGCUAUUAAGGGCUAAUGGUGGAUGCCUAGACUGUAAGAGGCGAUGAAAGACGUAUUAGGCUGCGAUAAGCCUCGGGGAGCUGCCAAAGAGCUUUGAUCCGGGGAUUUCUGAAUGGGGCAACCCAAUAUAAUGAGAAUUAUAUUACCCUACGGGGAGCGAACCUAGUGAAGUGAAACAUCUCAGUAGCUAGAGGAAGAGAAAUCAAACGAGAUUCCCAAAGUAGCGGCGAGCGAAAUGGGAUUAGGACAAACCCAAUGCUUGCAUUGGGGGUUGUAGGACCAUGAUAUGAGACUAAAGAGGAUAGAUGAAAUACUUGGAAAAGUGUAGCAUAGAAGGUGAAACUCCUGUAAUUAAAAUUCUCAAUAGCUCUAAUGGUAUCCUGAGUAGGUCGGAACACGUGAUAUUUUGACUGAAGCCGGGGGGACCACCCUCCAAUCCUAAAUACUACUUACAGAUCGAUAGUGAACAAGUACCGUGAGGGAAAGGUGAAAAGUACUCCAGCGAGGAGAG
This 516-nucleotide ribosomal RNA is filed under the name Aliarcobacter butzleri. Its description in RNAcentral is "partial 23S ribosomal RNA". It matches the Rfam family "Bacterial large subunit ribosomal RNA", at positions 1 to 538 of the family's 2925-position model. The record is from RNAcentral. Lineage: Bacteria; Pseudomonadati; Campylobacterota; Epsilonproteobacteria; Campylobacterales; Arcobacteraceae.